AUUGAACGCUGGCGGCAGGCUUAACACAUGCAAGUCGAGCGGGGUGAUGGUGCUUGCACUAUCACUUAGCGGCGGACGGGUGAGUAAUGCUUAGGAAUCUGCCUAUUAGUGGGGGACAACAUCUCGAAAGGGAUGCUAAUACCGCAUACGUCCUACGGGAGAAAGCAGGGGAUCACUUAUGACCUUGCGCUAAUAGAUGAGCCUAAGUCGGCUUAGCUAGUUGGUGGGGUAAAGGCCUACCAAGGCGACGAUCUGUAGCGGGUCUGAGAGGAUGACCCGCAAGACUGGGACUGAGCCCAAGACCAGACUCCUACGGGAGGCAGCAGUUGGGAAUAUGUGCCAAAGGGGGGAACCCUGAUCAAGCCAUGCCGCGUGAAGGAAGACGGCCUUCUGGGUUGUAAACUGCUUUUACCUGGGGAUAAAAAUGCCUUGCGAGGCAAACUGAAGGUACCAGGUGAAUAAGCCACGGCUAACUACGUGCCAGCAGCCGCCGUAA
RNAcentral lists this ribosomal RNA (496 nucleotides) under uncultured bacterium. RNAcentral describes it as "partial 16S ribosomal RNA". It matches the Rfam family "Bacterial small subunit ribosomal RNA", at positions 30 to 523 of the family's 1533-position model. The record is from RNAcentral.